ACAGGGCUUAUUGGCACAGGGAAGGACUAGUUGGUGGUCAGCUCUCCUUGGAGCAAGUCUGACUGAAAAGGCUGGAAGCACUUGCGGAGGAAAUCAAAUAGAACCUUGCAAUUACUUGAACUGUGCACCAUCUGCUGCAACAUAUAUCUGCAUAACACCUUCAGCAGACGUCAGAGGAGCUAGAGGAAUAGGCUAAGGUAAGCCAUGGGGGAAAUGAUGCCUUGGAGACAAAAUGGUUCUGAAGAUCAACCCUGACAGAGAUGAACAAAGUGACAGACCCACAGGCAACUCUGAAGUCAGCAGCUCUACUGCCUGUGAAGUCUGCCAAGAAGCAUAACAUGCCCAGGUCUUUCCAGGUUUUUCAACACUAUAAUCACUUUGGGUCCAACAGAAGAGUAUCUACAGUGAAUUAAUUCUAUUUUUUUUUUCUUUUUUUUUUUUCAUCCAUUUCAAGUCUCCUCCAAUUCAAAAUAAUACUAACAUCAUUCCAGUUUAUCUUUGUCUUGGCCACCAUACAGAUGCCCAAGAAAUAUAUAUUGAUUCUACUUUUCAUAUAUAAAAACCACCAUAUGAUGAUUUUAGAAAUGUCUAACUACCUUGUAGUUGGAGCUAUUCCUGGGGAGAAAAAGACACACAUUUUAUAUAUAUAUAUACACACAAACACACACACUUCCCUUAAUGGGGUACAAAUAUAUACUUACAUACUUAAAAAUUAGGCAUCUGCCAAAAUAGUAGAAGGAUCAGAGUCAUAGCUGACUUGCAGAUGUGGGAACAAAUAAAGAAUAGGAACAGUAUUCAUGGUUAAGAUAGGUUGGAUGUUCUUACCUAGGGGAAAGUAAAAGACAAGAUUGCUAUAUAUCAUUUGGGAUGAAUUUUGAGCUUUUUACAUACCUAAAAAUAAAAACAGAUGUACAAAAUCCUAUUUGUAUAACAAAGCUCAAUUUUGAAAUGGCUACUGUCUGCAAAUGUGAUGAUCCUUUAAGCUCUAUCUUUAAGAGGACUGAAGGAUUCUGAGC
Molecule: long non-coding RNA, 1016 nt
Organism: Athene cunicularia (burrowing owl)
Lineage: Eukaryota; Metazoa; Chordata; Aves; Strigiformes; Strigidae
Exons: 4
Source: RefSeq, a predicted model, not a curated record